CAAUUAGACGUAUCCAAUACUAUAUCAAUUGUUGGCCGGCUUUCUAUACUUUCAAACUCUGCAAUUAAAACUUGAAGUAUUAAAUUCCACAUCUAUUAUUUCGAAAUCAAGCUUCAUGUUUUAGGAUGAGAGAUUUAUAUAAAUAGCGUGCCAGAACCACAUUUAUUCCCAUUCGUUUUCUCCAACUUAUCGCAUUCUCUGGUAACUCGCGUAACUGAUAUGAAAAAAAUGAAGAUUCUGCUGUUGAUCUGUCUGAUUUACGUCACUGAAUUUUCUUCGGUAACGAGUCAACAGAUGUGUCCUGAAUCAACACUGAGAAGAAAUGGAGAGUGCUAUAAUGAUUGUAUUAUACGUAGAAAUCACUUGUGUGUAAGAAUUCCACCUUGCAUCUGUCCGAGGCUUGUUCCCAACGAAGAAUUAGUGAAGGGAGCACGGUAAAUGAAUUCAAGAAUUCCUCGCUUUAUCAACUUUUUGUUCGCAUUCGUCUUCCUAUUGUUGUACUCUGCAGUCGAGUUCUAUCUUUUCUCUACUUUAAUUUAAAUUUUAAUUUAAUGUUUCGUUUCUGUAAUUUUUUAAAAUAUAUUCCUUGCCCAAGGGCAUGGCCAACUGCAACAGUUACUAUUAAAUAAAUAAAUGAAAUUUCCUGUUUAAAGUUGAUUCCUGUGGCAGACAUCAUCUCUACAAUAAUUUAAUCUCCGCAUUCAAAUUUGAAACGAGACAUUUAACCAAAUAUUUCGUAUUAAUCUUUUAUAUUGUAUUUCAAACUCAACGAUAUGUUAUUCGUCUGUUAUAUCAGAAAUAAUUCGGAUGCUUUAGUACAACAGACUAGCAUAAAUACAGCGAGAUAAAGUAACGUGUUGGCAGUCUUUCGUCUCAUUUAAAAUAAUGUAUCCGUUCCUAUUGUUUUACUCGUAGUGUUUCCUCCGUAAUCGGUUUAGAAAUGAAUUCUCCCGAAGAAGGGAAAAAGGAUACUCCGCGUAUCUGCUCCAGACCAAAGAAUUUGACGAAUGAAGUCGUUUGAUUUAUUUAUUAAAUUGAGUUCUUGAUUGUUGUUUAUUUAAUUACACUCUGUGGGAACAGAACGUGUACAAAAAUUUCCGAGUUCUUACUCACUGGGAUUUGAUCAGAAUUCGCCCACACUGGAUAUGAUAACAAUUGAGAUGGCUUUUACCGAAUUCUGCCUAUGGAUUUACAUAAUACUAUAUUUUUCAGUACGACAAAGAAAAAAA
Long non-coding RNA from Centruroides sculpturatus (bark scorpion), 1229 nucleotides. RefSeq lists it as uncharacterized. The transcript is spliced from 2 exons. The record is from RefSeq and is a predicted model, not a curated record. NCBI's taxonomy places the organism in Eukaryota, Metazoa, Arthropoda, Arachnida, Scorpiones, Buthidae.